ACGGCUACCUUGUUACGACUUCACCCCAGUCACCAAUCCCACCUUCGGCAGCCCCCUCCCUUGCGGGUUAGAGUACUGACUUCGGGUGUUACCGGCUUCCAUGGUGUGACGGGCGGUGUGUACAAGGCCCGGGAACGUAUUCACCGCGGCAUGCUGAUCCGCGAUUACUAGCAAUUCCGACUUCAUGCAGGCGAGUUGCAGCCUGCAAUCUGAACUGAGACCGUUUUUUGGGAUUUGCUCCGUGUCGCCACCUUGCUUCCCUCUGUUCGACGGCCAUUGUAGUACGUGUGUAGCCCAGGUCAUAAAGGGCAUGAUGAUUUGACGUCAUCCCCACCUUCCUCCACCUUGUCGGUAGCGGUCCCGAUACACCGCUCUUGCGUAGCAACUAUCGGCAGGGGUUGCGCUCGUUGCGGGACUUAACC
RNAcentral lists this ribosomal RNA (422 nucleotides) under uncultured bacterium. RNAcentral's name for it is "partial 16S ribosomal RNA". The record is from RNAcentral.